AUUGUUAAUGGUUGAUAACAUUUUCAGAACUCUGGGAUUUUAAAAUUUCAUGGGGAUGAACUAACAUGAAUAUGAACAAAUAAUUCCAUGGAGAAAAACAAACGUCGGACUUGAAUAUACCUCUAGUUUGAUGGAUCAAAAAUUUGUGAAGCAAAAUCUGGAAACUCACGGCUGCUCCACUCCUUUGGCUAUCUCUUUGUUUUUCCCAGAAUUUGGAAGGAGGCUAAAAAUUUGUGGAAUGGUUCGGGCUGGUUUCAAGGUGAAUGACCCAGUUCAAGAUGUAUUCAAUGGGCAGGAGGUGGACGUAUGGCCUCGUAUUGCAUGGAGUCCUAAAUGGGGGCUUACAUUCUCGUAUUACCGGAAGGAAGAUCUACCAUUGCCAUUAAGGGCCAAAGCAUCUUCUCCAGGAUCUUGCCUUGGAUGGAGCUCUAGUUAUCGAUGCUGAGGUUAAAGUAGGAGGAACUGUGCACAACGCCGGAUGGGCCAUUGAAAAAGUCGAUUACAAGGAUACUUCAGUGCCUGAAGAAGUGAGGGAUCAGAG
This is a long non-coding RNA of Salvia splendens (bonfire salvia), 541 nucleotides long. RefSeq lists it as uncharacterized. The transcript is spliced from 3 exons. Lineage: Eukaryota; Viridiplantae; Streptophyta; Magnoliopsida; Lamiales; Lamiaceae. The record is from RefSeq and is a predicted model, not a curated record.